This 440-nucleotide ribosomal RNA is filed under the name uncultured bacterium. RNAcentral describes it as "partial 16S ribosomal RNA". It matches the Rfam family "Bacterial small subunit ribosomal RNA", at positions 338 to 795 of the family's 1533-position model. The record is from RNAcentral.
CCUACGGGAGGCAGCAGUGGGGAAUAUUGGACAAUGGAGGAAAGUCUGAUGCAGCGACGCCGCGUGAGGGAAGAAGGCUUUCGGGAUGUAAAGCUCUAUCAGCAGGGAAGAUAAGGACGGUACCUGACUAAGAUGAGCCGGCUAACUACGUGCCAGCAGCAGCGGUAAUACGUAGGGGGCAAGCGUUAUCCGGAUUUACUGGGUGUAAAGGGAGCGUAGGUGGCAGGGCAAGUCAGAUGUGAAAACCCGGGGCUCAACCCCGGGAGUGCAUUUGAAACUGUCCAGCUGGAGUGCAGGAGAGGUAAUCGGAAUUCCUAGUGUAGCGGUGAAAUGCAUAGAUAUUAGGAAGAACACCAGUGGCGAAGGCGGCUUACUGGACGGUAACUGACACUGAGGCUCGAAAGCGUGGGGAGCAAACAGGAUUAGAUACCCUUGUAGUC